CAGUCGCCACGGUAAUACAGAGGGUGCAAGCGUUAAUCGGAAUUACUGGGCGUAAAGCGCGCGUAGGUGGUUUGUUAAGUUGGAUGUGAAAUCCCCGGGCUCAACCUGGGAACUGCAUCCAAAACUGGCAAGCUAGAGUAUGGUAGAGGGUGGUGGAAUUUCUUGUGUAGCGGUGAAAUGCGUAGAUAUAGGAAGGAACACCAGUGGCGAAGGCGACCACCUGGACUGAUACUGACACUGAGGUGCGAAAGCGUGGGGAGCAAACAGGAUUAGAUACCCGCGUAGUCCCUGUCUCUUAUAC
RNAcentral lists this ribosomal RNA (301 nucleotides) under uncultured bacterium. RNAcentral describes it as "partial 16S ribosomal RNA". It matches the Rfam family "Bacterial small subunit ribosomal RNA", at positions 509 to 807 of the family's 1533-position model. The record is from RNAcentral.